RNAcentral lists this ribosomal RNA (2896 nucleotides) under Clostridioides difficile. RNAcentral describes it as "bacterial LSU rRNA". It matches the Rfam family "Bacterial large subunit ribosomal RNA". RNAcentral also lists the same sequence under 5 other names. Lineage: Bacteria; Bacillati; Bacillota; Clostridia; Peptostreptococcales; Peptostreptococcaceae. The record is from RNAcentral.
UCAAGUUAUUAAGGGUGCAGGGCGGAUGCCUUGGCACUAGGAGCCGAUGAAGGACGUGAUAAGCUGCGAUAAGCUUCGGGGAGUUGCACGUAAACUUUGAUCCGAAGAUUUCCGAAUGAGGAAACUCACUUAGAGUAAUGUCUAAGUAUCAUUAAGUGAAUACAUAGCUUAAUGAGGGGAACUCAGGGAACUGAAACAUCUAAGUACCUGAAGGAAGAGAAAGAAAUUCGAUUCCGUAAGUAGCGGCGAGCGAACGCGGAUUAGCCCAAACCAAUAAAGUUUUCUUUAUUGGGGUUGCGGACAUAUCAUAACGAAGAGGUAUCGUAAUUGAAGAGGUUUGGAAAGACCCACCACAGAAGGUAAUAGUCCUGUAUGUUAAACGAGAAGACUUCAGAUAUGAUCCAGAGUACCACGGGACACGUGAAACCCUGUGGGAAGCAGGAGGGACCACCCUCCAAGGCUAAAUACUACCUAGUGACCGAUAGCGUAUAGUACCGUGAGGGAAAGGUGAAAAGAACCCCGGGAGGGGAGUGAAAUAGAACCUGAAACCCUGCACUUACAAGCUGUGGAAGCACAUUUCUUGUGUGACCGCGUACUUUUUGUAGAACGGGCCAACGAGUUACGUUAAGUAGCAAGGUUAAGCACUUAAGGUGCGGAGCCGUAGCGAAAGCGAGUUUUAACUGAGCGUUCAGUUACUUGACGUAGACCCGAAACCGGGCGACCUACCCAUGAGCAGGAUGAAGCGAAAGUAAAAUUUCGUGGAGGUCCGAACCCACGAGCGUUGAAAAGCUCGGGGAUGACUUGUGGGUAGCGGUGAAAUUCCAAUCGAGCCCGGAGAUAGCUGGUUCUCCCCGAAAUAGCUUUAGGGCUAGCCUCAAGGUGAGAGAUACGGAGGUAGAGCACUGAAUGUCCUAGGGGGUAUUGCACCUACCGAAGACUAUCAAACUCCGAAUGCCGUCAUCUUAUACUUGGGAGUCAGACUGUGGGUGAUAAGAUUCAUAGUCGAAAGGGCAACAGCCCAGAUCGUCAGCUAAGGUCCCUAAAUGUAAGUUAAGUGGUAAAGGAUGUGGGAUUGCACAGACAACCAGGAUGUUGGCUUAGAAGCAGCCACUCAUUCAAAGAGUGCGUAAUAGCUCACUGGUCGAGUGAUCCUGCGCCGAAGAUUUCCGGGGCUAAAACUUACUACCGAAGCUACGGCAUCAGUAAUGAUGGGUAGGGGAGCUUCCCAUACGGGUUGAAGCAUGACCGUAAGGACAUGUGGACAGUAUGGGAGUGAGAAUGUUGGCAUGAGUAGCGAGAUGUGGGUGAGAAUCCCACAGGCCGUAAACCCAAGGUUUCCAGGGGAAGGUUCGUCCGCCCUGGGUUAGUCGGGACCUAAGCUGAGGCCGAAAGGCGUAGGUGAUGGACAACAGGUUGAUAUUCCUGUACUACCGAUAACCGUUUGAGAGAAGGGAUGACACAGUAGGAUAAGCUAAGCACACUGUUGGUUAUGUGUGCCCAAGCAUUGAGGCAGUCAAAGUAGGCAAAUCCGCUUUGAUAAUGCUGGGAUGUGAUGGGGAGCGAAAUUUAGUAGCGAAGUAGCUGAUUUCACACUGUCAAGAAAAGUCUCUAUCGAGGUUAAAGGUACCCGUACCGCAAACCGACACAGGUGGGUGAGGAGAGUAUCCUAAGGCCAGCGAGAGAACUGUUGUUAAGGAACUCGGCAAAAUGACCCCGUAACUUAGGGAUAAGGGGUGCCACCAUCAGGUGGCCGCAGAGAAUAGGCCCAAGCGACUGUUUACCAAAAACAUAGGUUUCUGCUAAGUCGCAAGACGAUGUAUAGGAGCUGACGCCUGCCCGGUGCUGGAAGGUUAAGGGGAUCUGUUAGAGCAAUCGAAGCAGUGAACUUAAGCCCCAGUAAACGGCGGCCGUAACUAUAACGGUCCUAAGGUAGCGAAAUUCCUUGUCGGGUAAGUUCCGACCCGCACGAAAGGCGUAACGAUUUGGGCACUGUCUCAACAACAGACUCGGUGAAAUUGUAAUUCCGGUGAAGAUGCCGGAUACCUGCGACAGGACGGAAAGACCCCAUGGAGCUUUACUGUAGCUUGACAUUGGGUCUUGGUACUACAUGUACAGGAUAGGUGGGAGGCUUUGAAACCAGGACGCCAGUUUUGGCGGAGCCAUCCUUGGGAUACCACCCUUGUAGUACUGGGACUCUAACCAUAGGCCAUGAAUCUGGUCUUGGGACACUGUCAGGUGGGCAGUUUGACUGGGGCGGUCGCCUCCCAAAAGGUAACGGAGGCGCUCAAAGGUUCUCUCAGUACGGUCGGAAAUCGUACGUAGAGUGUAAAGGCAAAAGAGAGCUUGAUUGCAAGACAUACAGGUCGAGCAAGGAUGAAAAUCGGACUUAGUGAUCCGGUGGUUCUGCGUGGAAGGGCCAUCGCUCAACGGAUAAAAGCUACCCUGGGGAUAACAGGCUUAUCUCCCCCAAGAGUCCACAUCGACGGGGAGGUUUGGCACCUCGAUGUCGGCUCAUCACAUCCUGGGGCUGUAGUAGGUCCCAAGGGUUGGGCUGUUCGCCCAUUAAAGUGGUACGCGAGCUGGGUUCAGAACGUCGUGAGACAGUUCGGUCCCUAUCCGUCGCAGGCGUAGGAAAUUUGAGAAGACCUGUCCUUAGUACGAGAGGACCGGGAUGGACGUACCUCUGGUGUACCAGUUGUCCUGCCAAGGGCAUGGCUGGGUAGCUAUGUACGGAAUGGAUAAGCGCUGAAAGCAUCUAAGCGCGAAGCCAACUUCAAGAUAAGAUUUCCCACCGCAAGGGUAAGACCCCAGAAAGACUAUCUGGUUGAUAGGUCGAAGGUGUAAGUGCAGCAAUGUAUUUAGCUUAUCGAUACUAAUAGGUCGAGGACUUGACCAA